This 704-nucleotide ribosomal RNA is filed under the name Salmonella enterica subsp. enterica serovar Virchow. RNAcentral describes it as "partial 23S ribosomal RNA". It matches the Rfam family "Bacterial large subunit ribosomal RNA", at positions 568 to 1252 of the family's 2925-position model. Lineage: Bacteria; Pseudomonadati; Pseudomonadota; Gammaproteobacteria; Enterobacterales; Enterobacteriaceae. The record is from RNAcentral.
AAGCGACGUUCAACCUCAAAAGAAGCAGAGGGGGCUUAGUGGUGGGGUGACUGCGUACCUUUUGUAUAAUGGGUCAGCGACUUAUAUUCUGUAGCAAGGUUAACCGUAUAGGGGAGCCGGAGGGAAACCGAGUCUUAACCGGGCGUUAAGUUGCAGGGUAUAGACCCGAAACCCGGUGAUCUAGCCAUGGGCAGGUUGAAGGUUGGGUAACACUAACUGGAGGACCGAACCGACUAAUGUUGAAAAAUUAGCGGAUGACCUGUGGCUGGGGGUGAAAGGCCAAUCAAACCGGGAGAUAGCUGGUUCUCCCCGAAAGCUAUUUAGGUAGCGCCUCGUGAAUUCAUCUCCGGGGGUAGAGCACUGUUUCGGCUAGGGGGCCAUCCCGGCUUACCAACCCGAUGCAAACUGCGAAUACCGGAGAAUGUUAUCACGGGAGACACACGGCGGGUGCUAACGUCCGUCGUGAAGAGGGAAACAACCCAGACCGCCAGCUAAGGUCCCAAAGUCAUGGUUAAGUGGGAAACGAUGUGGGAAGGCCCAGACAGCCAGGAUGUUGGCUUAGAAGCAGCCAUCAUUUAAAGAAAGCGUAAUAGCUCACUGGUCGAGUCGGCCUGCGCGGAAGAUGUAACGGGGCUAAACCAUGCACCGAAGCUGCGGCAGCGACACUGUGUGUUGUUGGGUAGGGGAGCGUUCUGUAAGCCUGU